UAACGCGUGGGAAUCUGCCCUGGAGUGGGGGAUAACCGAGGGAAACCUCGGCUAAUACCGCAUACGGCCUGAGGGCGAAAGAUUUAUCGCUCUAGGAGGGGCCCGCGUCGGAUUAGCUUGUUGGUGGGGUAACGGCCCACCAAGCCUGUGAUCCGUAGCUGGUCUGAGAGGAUGAUCAGCCACACUGGGACUGAGACACGGCCCAGACUCCUACGGGAGGCAGCAGUGGGGGAUAUUGGACAAUGGGGGCAACCCUGAUCCAGCAAUGCCGGGUUAGUGAUGAAGGCCUUAGGGUUGU
RNAcentral lists this ribosomal RNA (298 nucleotides) under uncultured Sphingomonadaceae bacterium. Its description in RNAcentral is "partial 16S ribosomal RNA". It matches the Rfam family "Bacterial small subunit ribosomal RNA", at positions 111 to 426 of the family's 1533-position model. Lineage: Bacteria; Pseudomonadati; Pseudomonadota; Alphaproteobacteria; Sphingomonadales; Sphingomonadaceae. The record is from RNAcentral.